Molecule: long non-coding RNA, 649 nt
Organism: Phascolarctos cinereus (koala)
Lineage: Eukaryota; Metazoa; Chordata; Mammalia; Diprotodontia; Phascolarctidae
Source: RefSeq, a predicted model, not a curated record
ACCAUUUGGAUCAUGCCAUUCCAUUCCUUCGCUCAGAAGCCUACGAUGAGUCCCCAAUGAAGGCAGUAAAGUUCCAGAUCUGGGAUCCAGAGUCAUAGGACAAUGACGGUGUCUGCCUCUGGGCAUCCAGUGAGAGAAGAGAGGCUGCCUGCUUGUGAGUUCUAGGUCCGGCUCACUGUCCAUCUGUGGUGUUUUUCAACAUGGGGAUGCUGAUGGGUUCACUCAAUGGACUACCCACACAAAUUCAGCAAGCAGAGGCCUCCAGAUUUCCAAGCCAAGCUUUCUGUGUGAUAAAUCAAGCGCGCAUUCCUGAUUUCAAAAAGGAAGGCAAACUCCUCUGGAGGAGGUCAACCCUCCCCUGUCACGGAUGACUGGUCAGCACUUCUGGGAGGAAGGAACUAAUGAGAGGUGGCCAUUAGAAUCUUCUGGGAUUCGGGACAGUUUAUAGGCUCAUUUGUAGAUGAGACAAAGAGGAGCCACUGGGAACCAGUUAAGUCCUCAGCUGCAUAAAGAAGAUUCUGUUUCAUGUUUAUCUCACAGAAAAUCCCAGAAUGAAAGUUCAGCCCAAAACCUUCUCAUCUGACACACAGGGAAGUCCUCAUACAGGGGUUUUAAACCUUUUCUGUAUCCCUUUGGCCAUCAGUCCGGA